CUGACGGAACUCUUCGGAGGGAAGGCAGUGGAAUGAGCGGCGGACGGGUGAGUAACACGUAAGGAACCUGCCUCAAGGAUUGGGAUAACUCCGAGAAAUCGGAGCUAAUACCGGAUAGUUCAUCGGACCGCAUGGUCCGCUGAUGAAAGGCGCUCCGGCGUCACCUUGAGAUGGCCUUGCGGUGCAUUAGCUAGUUGGUGGGGUAACGGCCCACCAAGGCGACGAUGCAUAGCCGACCUGAGAGGGUGAUCGGCCACACUGGGACUGAGACACGGCCCAGACUCCUACGGGAGGCAGCAGUAGGGAAUCUUCCACAAUGGACGAAAGUCUGAUGGAGCAACGCCGCGUGAGUGAUGAAGGUUUUCGGAUCGUAAAACUCUGUUGUAAGGGAAGAACACGUACGAGAGGGAAUGCUCGUACCUUGACGGUACCUUACGAGAAAGCCACGGCUAACUACGUGCCAGCAGCCGCGGUAAUACGUAGGUGGCAAGCGUUGUCCGGAAUUAUUGGGCGUAAAGCGCGCGCAGGCGGCCUUUUAAGUCUGAUGUGAAAGCCCCCGGCUCAACCGGGGAGGGCCAUUGGAAACUGGAAGGCUUGAGUACAGAAGAGAAGAGUGGAAUUCCACGUGUAGCGGUGAAAUGCGUAGAGAUGUGGAGGAACACCAGUGGCGAAGGCGACUCUUUGGUCUGUAACUGACGCUGAGGCGCGAA
RNAcentral lists this ribosomal RNA (710 nucleotides) under Exiguobacterium indicum. Its description in RNAcentral is "bacterial SSU rRNA". It matches the Rfam family "Bacterial small subunit ribosomal RNA", at positions 63 to 757 of the family's 1533-position model. The record is from RNAcentral. Lineage: Bacteria; Bacillati; Bacillota; Bacilli; Caryophanales.